Long non-coding RNA from Saccostrea cuccullata (small rock oyster), 777 nucleotides. RefSeq lists it as uncharacterized. The transcript has 3 exons. NCBI's taxonomy places the organism in Eukaryota, Metazoa, Mollusca, Bivalvia, Ostreida, Ostreidae. The record is from RefSeq and is a predicted model, not a curated record.
UAUUACACAAGGUUUAUUAGGUAUACGCGAUUGCGGUAUGGCGUUCUCCAUGGUCAAAUUAUACAGCUGGUACAACGAAACUUAUGCGGAAAUCGGAGACUGCCAUACAAUCUGACCACGUUUUAAUUAAAGUUUGUGUAUGACAAAGAUGCGCAGUUUAUAAGGGGAAUUGUGCAAGCCUCCAUGCGAGACCGGAGCUACAGGUUACUAUUACUCUUGGUUCUAACUACACAGUUGAACAGAGUACCUGUGAAUGUGUAAAUGGGAUGGACUAAUGUCACCAUAAAGCCAGCAUUCUUCUCUAUGGGUACAAAAAUGUCAGCAAAACUGAUGUACGCAAGAGUUGGAUUACGCAUCCAGAGUGCGCCACCUCGUCAAACUAAGACGAUGGAAGAACUUUUUCCUGCACGUGACAGGUUUAUAAAUUACAGGUAUGCAUUUAUUAUGACUGUUUCAUGAAUGGUGCAAAAUAUUAAAAAAUGACAGUACCCCAAAAGUGAAAAUAUAAAAAAUAGAGAAAUAGCAUAUUUUUUAUGGGCAAUAUACACUUUUUUCAAUGGAUGGAACUGUAUCUCUCUGGUCGUCCAUCCUAAUUUUUUCAGACCAGCAAGCUACAGAUCUGCAGCUAGCAUGGUAUAUGUAAAACCAUUCAGUGUUGUAUUAUGCUCCAUUUUUCAACUUUUGUCAAAAAUUACUAGGGCAACAAAUAGGCCAGUCAAUGAUAGGGACAGGGAGUUCCUAUAUCAGAAAUUGACAACUGUAGGGAGAUUUUCAGGU